GGUUGCGAUCAUACCAGCACUAAUGCACCGGAUCCCAUCAGAACUCCGCAGUUAAACGUGCUUGGGCGAGAGUAGUACUAGGAAGGUGACCCCCCUGGGAAGUCCUCGUGUUGCAACCC
This 119-nucleotide ribosomal RNA is filed under the name Helianthus annuus (common sunflower). Lineage: Eukaryota; Viridiplantae; Streptophyta; Magnoliopsida; Asterales; Asteraceae. The record is from RNAcentral.